UGGUUAAGCACCAAUAACCGGGAAGGGAACCUGAGCCUUACCUCAAACAGCCCUGACUACUGGAAAUGAAGCAACGUCAUCCUGGCUCUUCCUGAUGCCAGUGGGGGCAGAAAACAAAUUUGCAGAGUGCCUCACUCAGGAAUAUGAGAAUCUUCAGUCUGCUGGGAAACGUUGGGAAAGGGAACUCAGACCCUGGGAGGUAAACACUGGAAUAAGACAAUAGAUGAGGACUGUCUCAUGUAUCUUAUGCUUACAUAGUGCUUACUAUGGGCCAGGACCAAACCUAUAUUAACACAUUUAAUCCUGGGCGUUAUUGAGCUGGACACUAAAUAGUUAUAGCACUAUUUUUAGGCCCAUUUUACAGCUGAAAAUACUGAGAUAUUGAAAAGUUACGACAACUUUCCCAAGGAACUAGCUAGGAAGUGAUGGAGCUGGGGUUCAACCCAGGUAGUCUGGCCCCAAGGUAUAUGCCCUAAACCACUUUGCUUUGGCUGCCCCUUGUUGCCAGUAGUCAAGAGAGGGGGUCAAGUCAGAGGAAAAAGGCCCUACAUUAAACUGCCAAAAGUACACUUGGACGACACCCUGCUAUAUGCAUCCUCUCUGUCUCCAGCCUCUGUUGAGAACUCUGGACUCUUCUCUCCAGACAAACGCAGUAGCCCCUUUUUUUUUUUUUUUUAUUAAGAAUUUACUGAGCACUCACUGGGGGACAGAGACUGUGCUAGGCUUGGACUGGGCCUUGUGCAAUGCACACAAAAUGUCCCUUUUCGGGGAAGCCCCAUCCUCUCUCCUUCCUUAGAGCUCUAACCUAGCCUUCAGGCCAUUCUCUAGGAUGAACUGAAGAACAGAGGGGUUUGAAUAAACACGCAAAAGGGAUUCUGGGGCAAAUAAGUUUGGGAAACAUGAGGCUAGCACCCUUACUGCAGGCCUUCUCAGAGCCUUUAGUGUGCUAGUGGCCCUGAGAUCAACCAAGAGGAGUCAGUGUACAGGGCUUCUCAGAUCACUCAACAGGGAAAACUUUCUUUUUCUUCUUCUUCUUUUUUUAAACCCAUUUUAUAGGGCUGAUGUAUCACAGAACACAGCUUGGGAGCCUGGGAUAUUUUGUCCUACAAUAAUACCUACUAUGUCAAAUUCAUAUUGGGUUUUGACUGUGGGUCCGUUGGCAGGACUCUGAGGCUGGGUACUUUGUCCUGCAUCUCUGCCAAGCUCCUGCCUUCAGCCAGGCCUAAAUCAGAAGAGUUCUCUGCAAGUUUUCUUCCACAAUGGUGUGAUGGUUAAUAUUGAGUGCCAACUUGAUUGGAUUGAAGGAUACAAAGUAUUAUUCCUGGGUGUGUGUGUGAGGGUGUUGCCAAAGGAGAUUAACAUUUGAGUCAGUGGGCUGGGAAAGGCAGACCCACCCUUAAUAUGGAUUGGCAAAAUCUAAUCAGCUUCCUGGCUAGAAUAUAAGCAGGCAGAAAAAUGUGAAAGGAGGGACUGGCCUAGCCUCCCAGCCUACAUCUUUCUCCUGUGCUGGAUGCUUCCUGGCCUCAAAAAUCGGACUCCACGUUCUUCAGUUUUGGAAGCUGGACUGGCUCUCUUUGCUCCUCAGCCUGCAGACAGCCUAUUGUGGGAUCUUGUGACAGUGUGAGUUAAUACUUAAUAGACUACCCUUAUCAUAUAUAUAUGUGUGUGUGUGUAUAUAUACAUACAUAUGCACGUAUAUAUAUAUAUGUGUGUGUGUGUGUGUGUGUGUGUGUGUGUAUACAUACAUAUAUAUAUCUAGAACCACUCCU
RNAcentral lists this long non-coding RNA (1769 nucleotides) under Homo sapiens (human). RNAcentral's name for it is "HSALNT0178789". Lineage: Eukaryota; Metazoa; Chordata; Mammalia; Primates; Hominidae. The record is from RNAcentral.